CGCAGCGUAGCUCAAUUGGAUAGAGCGCCCGGUUUCGACAGCCGCCUCUGAUUCGCGGUCUGGACGGCUGACUGGGGAGAUGGAGGUUCGAGUCCUCCCGCUGCGCCCA
RNAcentral lists this transfer RNA (109 nucleotides) under Bradyrhizobium diazoefficiens. RNAcentral's name for it is "tRNA-OTHER". It matches the Rfam family "tRNA". Rfam says of the family: Transfer RNA (tRNA) molecules are approximately 80 nucleotides in length. Their secondary structure includes four short double-helical elements and three loops (D, anti-codon, and T loops). The record is from RNAcentral. Lineage: Bacteria; Pseudomonadati; Pseudomonadota; Alphaproteobacteria; Hyphomicrobiales; Nitrobacteraceae.